RNAcentral lists this ribosomal RNA (491 nucleotides) under uncultured Pseudomonas sp. RNAcentral describes it as "bacterial SSU rRNA". It matches the Rfam family "Bacterial small subunit ribosomal RNA", at positions 896 to 1382 of the family's 1533-position model. Lineage: Bacteria; Pseudomonadati; Pseudomonadota; Gammaproteobacteria; Pseudomonadales; Pseudomonadaceae. The record is from RNAcentral.
GAAACUACAAAGGAAGUUAGACGGGGCCCGGCGACAAGACGGUGGAGCAUGUGGUUAAUUCGAAGCAACGCGAAGAACCUUACCAGGCCUUGACAUGCAGAGAACUUUCCAGAGAUGGAUUGGUGCCUUCGGGAACUCUGACACAGGUGCUGCAUGGCUGUCGUCAGCUUGUGUCGUGAGAUGUUGGGUUAAGUCCCGUAACGAGCGCAACCCUUGUCCUUAGUUACCAGCACGUUAUGGUGGGCACUCUAAGGAGACUGCCGGUGACAAACCGGAGGAAGGUGGGGAUGACGUCAAGUCAUCAUGGCCCUUACGGCCUGGGCUACACACGUGCUACAAUGGUCGGUACAAAGGGUUGCCAAGCCGCGAGGUGGAGCUAAUCCCAUAAAACCGAUCGUAGUCCGGAUCGCAGUCUGCAACUCGACUGCGUGAAGUCGGAAUCGCUAGUAAUCGUGAAUCAGAAUGUCACGGUGAAUACGUUCCCGGGCCUU